Molecule: ribosomal RNA, 484 nt
Filed under: uncultured bacterium
Lineage: Bacteria
Description: partial 16S ribosomal RNA
Rfam family: Bacterial small subunit ribosomal RNA
Source: RNAcentral
AUUGAACGCUGGCGGCAUGCCUAACACAUGCAAGUCGAGCGGAUGAAGGGAGCUUUCUCCUGGCUUCUGUGGCGGACGGGUGAGUAAUUCCUAGGAAUCUACCUUGUAUGUGAGGCUAACGUCCGUUCACGGGCGCUAAUACAGCAUCCGUCCUUAUGUAGAAAGUGGGGGAUCUUCGGACCUCACGCUAUCAGCUGAGCCUAGGUUGGAUUAGCUAGUUGGUUGGGUAAAGGCCUACCAAGGCGACGAUCCAUAACUGGUCUGAGAGGAUGAUCAGUCACACUGGAACUGAGACACGGUCCAGACUCCUACGGGAGGCAGCAGUAGGGAAUAUUGGACAAUGGGCGAAAGCCUGAUCCAGCCAUGCCGCGUGUGUGAAGAAGGUCUUCGGAUUGUAAAGCACUUUAAGUUGGGAGGAAGGGCAGUAAGUUAAUACCUUGAUAUUUUGACGUUACCAACAGAAUAAGCACCGGCUAACUUCGUG